RNAcentral lists this long non-coding RNA (343 nucleotides) under Elaeis guineensis (African oil palm). RNAcentral's name for it is "long non-coding RNA (EGUI_LNC020477)". Lineage: Eukaryota; Viridiplantae; Streptophyta; Magnoliopsida; Arecales; Arecaceae. The record is from RNAcentral.
GAGGUUUCCUAAGGCUAUUGGGAGUUGGAUUUUUAUCAGGAUUCAGACAUCAUUUUUCAUCCGAAUUGAGCCCCAUUUUCAAUGUUGUAUUCACGCAGUUUUGGACCCUUUAAAUAUGGAUGCUGGGUGCUAUUGAAUAGAGCUGUAGAAAAAUGAGAGUGGCUUGGUGAGUUCGGUGGAACCUGAAUAACAGCCGCGAGUAGAGGUAGCAGCAGACCUUGGAAAGGUGCUAACAGAGAGCAGGAGCAGGAGCUUCAAAUAAAUUAUCAGGCAGCGGACAGCGAUCGCUUUAAGAGUUCAUGGGGGUCUUUCUAGAAAGAGAGCUUUUGUGAGGGAGUGCUUC